Vicia faba (fava bean) is the source of this 216-nucleotide non-coding RNA. The record is from the annotation of a GenBank genome assembly. Lineage: Eukaryota; Viridiplantae; Streptophyta; Magnoliopsida; Fabales; Fabaceae.
AUGGCAAAGCUCAUUUGCGAAUCUCUUGUAUUGGGGCUUUUUUCAAUAGCGUUGGUCAUGGCUUCAGCGGGAGCAAGAGUGGAUUUACAAGACAAUUCAGUUUAUAAAUGCAUUGCUGCAUGCGAUAGUAACUGUGUUCAAACGUGCAAUGCUAGGGGAUUUAGUAGUGGAGCUUGUUUCGCAAUGUUUUGUUGUUGUUUCAACAAUGAAAAGUAG